AGGAUGAACGCUGGCGGCGUGCUUAACACAUGCAAGUCGAACGGUGAAGCAGGAGCUUGCUCUUGUGGAUCAGUGGCGAACGGGUGAGUAACACGUGAGUAACCUGCCCUUGACUCUGGGAUAAGCACUGGAAACGGUGUCUAAUACCGGAUACGACCUCCGAAGGCAUCUUCUGGAGGUGGAAAGAAUUUCGGUCAAGGAUGGACUCGCGGCCUAUCAGCUAGUUGGUGAGGUAACGGCCCACCAAGGCGACGACGGGUAGCCGGCCUGAGAGGGUGACCGGCCACACUGGGACUGAGACACGGCCCAGACUCCUACGGGAGGCAGCAGUGGGGAAUAUUGCACAAUGGGCGCAAGCCUGAUGCAGCAACGCCGCGUGAGGGACGACGGCCUUCGGGUUGUAACCUCUUUAGUAGGGAAGAAGCGAAAGUGACGGUACCUGCAGAAAAGCACCGGCUAACUACGCGCCAGCAGCCGCGGU
RNAcentral lists this ribosomal RNA (481 nucleotides) under uncultured bacterium. Its description in RNAcentral is "SSU rRNA". It matches the Rfam family "Bacterial small subunit ribosomal RNA", at positions 26 to 521 of the family's 1533-position model. The record is from RNAcentral.